AGUGAACGCUGGCGGUAGGCCUAACACAUGCAAGUCGAACGGCAGCACAGUAAGAGCUUGCUCUUACGGGUGGCGAGUGGCGGACGGGUGAGGAAUACAUCGGAAUCUACUUUUUCGUGGGGGAUAACGUAGGGAAACUUACGCUAAUACCGCAUACGACCUACGGGUGAAAGCAGGGGAUCUUCGGACCUUGCGCGAUUGAAUGAGCCGAUGUCGGAUUAGCUAGUUGGCGGGGUAAAGGCCCACCAAGGCGACGUUCCGUAGCUGGUCUGAGAGGAUGAUCAGCCACACUGGAACUGAGACACGGUCCAGACUCCUACGGGAGGCAGCAGUGGGGAAUAUUGGACAAUGGGCGCAAGCCUGAUCCAGCCAUACCGCGUGGGUGAAGAAGGCCUUCGGGUUGUAAAGCCCUUUUGUUGGGAAAGAAAAGCAGCAGGUUAAUACCCCGCUGUUCUGGCGGUACCCAAAGAAUAAGCACCGGCUAACUUCGUG
Molecule: ribosomal RNA, 492 nt
Filed under: uncultured bacterium
Lineage: Bacteria
Description: partial 16S ribosomal RNA
Rfam family: Bacterial small subunit ribosomal RNA
Source: RNAcentral